RNAcentral lists this ribosomal RNA (497 nucleotides) under uncultured bacterium. Its description in RNAcentral is "partial 16S ribosomal RNA". It matches the Rfam family "Bacterial small subunit ribosomal RNA", at positions 28 to 507 of the family's 1533-position model. The record is from RNAcentral.
GAUGAACGCUGGCUGCGUGCCUAAUACAUGCAAGUCCAGCGAACGGACGAGAAGCUUGCUUCUCUGAUGUUAGCGGCGGACGGGUGAGUAACACGUGGAUAACCUACCUAUAAGACUGGGAUAACUUCGGGAAACCGGAGCUAAUACCGGAUAAUAUUUUGAACCGCAUGGUUCAAAAGUGAAAGACGGUCUUGCUGUCACUUAUAGAUGGAUCCGCGCUGCAUUAGCUAGUUGGUAAGGUAACGGCUUACCAAGGCAACGAUGCAUAGCCGACCUGAGAGGGUGAUCGGCCACACUGGAACUGAGACACGGUCCAGACUCCUACGGGAGGCAGCAGUAGGGAAUCUUCCGCAAUGGGCGAAAGCCUGACGGAGCAACGCCGCGUGAGUGAUGAAGGUCUUCGGAUCGUAAAACUCUGUUAUUAGGGAAGAACAUAUGUGUAAGUAACUGUGCACAUCUUGACGGUACCUAAUCAGAAAGCCACGGCUAACUACGUG